This 427-nucleotide long non-coding RNA is filed under the name Elaeis guineensis (African oil palm). RNAcentral describes it as "long non-coding RNA (EGUI_LNC079700)". The record is from RNAcentral. Lineage: Eukaryota; Viridiplantae; Streptophyta; Magnoliopsida; Arecales; Arecaceae.
AGCAGUUUCGUCAAUCAUCGUCGUUCGGGGUCGGGCAGUUGAGACCCGACCCAUACCUUCCGGUCAGGAUUUUUCGCUAUCGGGAUCGACACAAGCUGCUCGGCCGGCGAACCCCGUUCUUCCUUCUCCCGUUGGUCCAGUUUGUCGAUCGUCAGGGAGCCCCUCAACUCGUCGCUUUGAGCGGAGAUCUGGAAGCAUCGGCGAGCGAGCUGUUGGUCUCCGCGCAUCUCCCCGACCCCGUUCCUGGUCGGGAACCGAACGAGGAGAUGGUAGGUCGAGACAAUCACCUUGAGGGCGUUUAGUCCGGGUCGUCCAAGUAUGGCGUUGUAGGCCGAAGGCACUUGGACGACCGCAAAAGUUAAGGGGACCGUGCUUUGUCGUGGUUCGGUGCCGGCCGUCACAAGCAGGGUAAUUUCUCCUUCCGUCG